This 292-nucleotide ribosomal RNA is filed under the name uncultured bacterium. Its description in RNAcentral is "partial 16S ribosomal RNA". It matches the Rfam family "Bacterial small subunit ribosomal RNA", at positions 505 to 796 of the family's 1533-position model. The record is from RNAcentral.
GUGCCAGCCGCCGCGGUAAUACAGAGGUCCCGAGCGUUGUUCGGAUUCACUGGGCGUAAAGGGUGCGUAGGCGGUCGGAUAAGUUUGAUGUGAAAUCUCCGGGCUUAACCCGGAAACUGCAUUGAAUACUAUUCGGCUUGAGGUCUGGAGGGGGGACUGGAAUUCUCGGUGUAGCAGUGAAAUGCGUAGAUAUCGAGAGGAACACCAGUGGCGAAGGCGAGUCCCUGGACAGGUCCUGACGCUGAGGCACGAAAGCUAGGGGAGCAAACAGGAUUAGAUACCCCGGUAGUCC